UAGGGAAUUUUGGGCAAUGGGCGAAAGCCUGAUCCAGCAAUGCCGCGUGAGUGAUGAAGGCCUUAGGGUUGUAAAGCUCUUUUACCCGGGAUGAUAAUGACAGUACCGGGAGAAUAAGCCCCGGCUAACUCCGUGCCAGCAGCCGCGGUAAUACGGAGGGGGCUAGCGUUGUUCGGAAUUACUGGGCGUAAAGCGCGCGUAGGCGGCUUUGUAAGUUAGAGGUGAAAGCCCGGAGCUCAACUCCGGAACUGCCUUUAAGACUGCAUCGCUAGAACGAUGGAGAGGUAAGUGGAAUUCCGAGUGUAGAGGUGAAAUUCGUAGAUAUUCGGAAGAACACCAGUGGCGAAGGCGACUUACUGGACAUCUGUUGACGCUGAGGUGCGAAAGCUAGGGGAGCGAA
RNAcentral lists this ribosomal RNA (400 nucleotides) under uncultured bacterium. RNAcentral describes it as "bacterial SSU rRNA". It matches the Rfam family "Bacterial small subunit ribosomal RNA", at positions 355 to 772 of the family's 1533-position model. The record is from RNAcentral.